RNAcentral lists this long non-coding RNA (246 nucleotides) under Trifolium pratense (red clover). RNAcentral's name for it is "long non-coding RNA (TPRA_LNC005303)". Lineage: Eukaryota; Viridiplantae; Streptophyta; Magnoliopsida; Fabales; Fabaceae. The record is from RNAcentral.
UCGCUACACUCUAUGUCUCAAUCUCUCGACCGGAGACACUCGAGAAUUAAAUGCAAUUCAGUUCAGACAUUAAAUCAAUACUCUCGCACGUGACUUAACUCGAAAUCAUUAUAACACUAAUGAAGGAUUAUAAAGCAUUAAGAACAGAUUUGCAUUAGAUGAACACUAUGAAAAGAGUACAUUCUUACAAUAUUGCAGAUUACAAACAAUUCAUCUACAUCCUAAACUAUCCUAGAUCCUACCUCC